CCUACGGGAGGCAGCAGUGGGGAAUCUUGCGCAAUGGGCGAAAGCCUGACGCAGCAACGCCGCGUGCGGGAAGAAGGCUUUCGGGCUGUAAACCGCUUUCAGCAGGAACGAAAAUGACGGUACCUGCAGAAGAAGGAGCGGCCAACUAUGUGCCAGCAGCCGCGGUGAUACAUAGGCUUCAAGCGUUGUCCGGAUUUAUUGGGCGUAAAGAGUUCGUAGGCGGUCGAGUAAGUCGGGUGUGAAAAUUCUGGGCUCAACCCAGAGACGCCACCCGAUACUGCUUAACUUGAGUUCGAUAGGGGAGUGGGGAAUUCCUAGUGUAGCGGUGAAAUGCGCAGAUAUUAGGAGGAACACCGGUGGCGAAGGCGCCACUCUGGAUCGAUACUGACGCUGAGGAACGAAAGCAUGGGUAGCAAACAGGAUUAGAUACCCUGGUAGUACCAUGCCGUAAACGGUGGGCACUAGGUGUGGGAAUUCUAUUAACGAAUUCCGCGCCGUCGCUAACGCAUUACGUGCCCCGCCUGGGGAAGUACGGUCGCAAGACUAAAACUCAAAUGAAUUGAACGG
This 567-nucleotide ribosomal RNA is filed under the name uncultured bacterium. RNAcentral describes it as "bacterial SSU rRNA". It matches the Rfam family "Bacterial small subunit ribosomal RNA", at positions 338 to 917 of the family's 1533-position model. The record is from RNAcentral.